AUUGAACGCUGGCGGCAUGCUUUACACAUGCAAGUCGGACGAGUGGCGAACGGGUGAGUAAUAUAUUGGAACGUACCGAGUACUUGGGGAUAACCAAUCGAAAGAUUGGCUAAUACCGCAUAUUUUUCGCGCGGCCGAUAUCUGAUUAGCUAGUUGGGGGGGUAAAGGCCUACCAAGGCGACGAUACGUAGCGGGUCUGAGAGGAUGAUCCGCGAUACGGGAACUGAGAAACGGCCAAGAUUCCGACGGGAGGAAGCAGUGGGGGAUUUUGGAAAAUGGGCGAAAGACUGAUCCAGCCAUGCCGUGUGUCUGAAGAAGGCCUUCGGGUUGUAAAGGACUUUGGUUAGGGAAGCGGUACCUAAAGAAUAAGUGCCGGCUAACUACGUGCCAGCAGCCGCGGUAAUUC
This 406-nucleotide ribosomal RNA is filed under the name uncultured bacterium. RNAcentral describes it as "partial 16S ribosomal RNA". It matches the Rfam family "Bacterial small subunit ribosomal RNA", at positions 30 to 526 of the family's 1533-position model. The record is from RNAcentral.